GACGAACGCUGGCGGCAUGCCUAAUACAUGCAAGUCGAGCGAACAGAUGAAGUGCUUGCACCUCUGACGUUAGCGGCGAACGGGUGAGUAACACGUAAGGAAUCUACCUAUAAGCGGGGGAUAACAUUCGGAAACGGGUGCUGAUACCGCAUAAUAUCUUCUUCCGCAUGGAAGAAGAUUGAAAGACGGCUCUGCUGUCACUUAUAGAUGACCUUGCGGUGCAUUAGUUAGUUGGUGGGGUAACGGCCUACCAAGACGAUGAUGCAUAGCCGACCUGAGAGGGUGAUCGGCCACAUUGGGACUGAGACACGGCCCAAACUCCUACGGGAGGCAGCAGUAGGGAAUCUUCCGCAAUGGGCGAAAGCCUGACGGAGCAAUGCCGCGUGAGUGAAGAAGGCCUUCGGGUCGUAAAACUCUGUUAUAAGAGAAGAACAAAUUGUAGAGUAACUGCUACAGUCUUGACGGUAUCUUAUCAGAAAGCCACGGCUAACUACGUGCCAGCCGCCGCGGUAA
Molecule: ribosomal RNA, 513 nt
Filed under: uncultured bacterium
Lineage: Bacteria
Description: partial 16S ribosomal RNA
Rfam family: Bacterial small subunit ribosomal RNA
Source: RNAcentral